This 67-nucleotide transfer RNA is filed under the name Hydnocerini sp. BMNH-844241. Its description in RNAcentral is "tRNA-Phe". The record is from RNAcentral. Lineage: Eukaryota; Metazoa; Arthropoda; Insecta; Coleoptera; Cleridae.
AUUUAAGUAGCUUAUAAUUAGAGUAUAAUAUUGAAGAUAUUAGGGAAAUUUUUUAAAUUCUUAAAUA